UAGGAUGAACGCAUGGAACUUACAGACUAAACGCUUCUCUUUUGUGUUCCUCGUACACUAUGACUUUGAAUUGCUGAAUUAUUAGCGUCAAUAGCUAGGAUAUAUAAAAUACCUGAGAUGAAGAAGAGUAAGAAAUUUUUACUUUUCCAUUAUAUUCAGAACUAUAUCAUCAGUAAUAGUCCAUUUGCGCAAAACCAUACUUUAUACAAUUUGUGAAGGAGGAUAUAAAUUCAGCAUUUAAAAGCAACGCUGUAUCGAUAUAAAAUUUAAAAAAUCCUAAUAUUAGCAAAAGAAUGAUACACAUUGACUUACCAGAUUGAUUGUUUGCAGAUACUUUACCCAUCACUCAUUUCAUCGAGCUUACAG
Non-coding RNA from Schizosaccharomyces pombe (fission yeast), 366 nucleotides. The record is from the annotation of a GenBank genome assembly. Lineage: Eukaryota; Fungi; Ascomycota; Schizosaccharomycetes; Schizosaccharomycetales; Schizosaccharomycetaceae.